GGAUUGUGACUCGGUGGUAGAGCGCUCACCUAGCACGGGCGGGACCCGGGUUCGAUUCUCAGCACCA
Molecule: transfer RNA, 67 nt
Filed under: Marmota monax (woodchuck)
Lineage: Eukaryota; Metazoa; Chordata; Mammalia; Rodentia; Sciuridae
Description: tRNA.Ala
Source: RNAcentral